This 640-nucleotide long non-coding RNA is filed under the name Macaca nemestrina (pig-tailed macaque). RNAcentral describes it as "lncRNA (ENSMNEG00000045695.1)". Lineage: Eukaryota; Metazoa; Chordata; Mammalia; Primates; Cercopithecidae. The record is from RNAcentral.
CCUGAAGCCCUUUUACUUUCUAACACUUCUAUAAUAAAUUUCCUAUAUUAAAUCCCUUUCUGAAUGAAAUACCUAGAUUAGAUUGUUUUCCAGGCUGCACCUGAAACAUACAGAUAUGACAUCAAAAAAAGAAGUUUGGAGUGUCUGCUCCAUGUUGGAUAAAAAAACUAAAUAAAAUCCUGGGAAAUGUGAAGAAUGCCAAAGAAAUGGAAAAAUGAGGACAGAAAAGAAUACUACUACCUGGUUUCUGUGCCCAUAGGUCAAGCUGGAAAACAUUUUUCCAUAAAACCACGUGCAAUUUUAUGACACAGGUGAAAGAGUAGCCCAAAUCCACAAGUUUGGCUUUUUAUCCCAGUAUGUUGGAUGAUUUCCACAAAAAUCUUUCAAAAAGAUGAUUGAUGUUGAUGGCUUUAAUGCAACAACAUGGAGACAUCAAGUGGAGUUACAGCUACUUGUGAAGUAGCUUGAAAUUUCUAUAAUGAAAGGUGGUGAGUAGACAUUAAUUUGGAUUUUUAACAAGUUUCAACAAAAUUCAGUGUAUAUUUAAGUAUUAUAAAAGAAUACAGUAUAGUGGUUAAGAGGUAAGAUCCUAGAAUCGAAUUGCCUGCGUCACCAUUUAUUAUUAUCCUUGGAAUUUGGG